Molecule: non-coding RNA, 148 nt
Filed under: Homo sapiens (human)
Lineage: Eukaryota; Metazoa; Chordata; Mammalia; Primates; Hominidae
Source: Rfam by way of RNAcentral
GCUGGGUGUGGUAGCGCACACCUGUAAUCCUAGCUGCUUGGGAGGCUGAGGCACGAGAAUCAUUUGAACCCAGGAGGCAGAGGCUGCAGUGAGCCAAGAUCACGCCACUGCACUCCAGCCUGGGCAACAGAGUGAGACUCUGUCUCAA